UCUGCCUUGUUCUAUAUAAAUGUUUCUUACAUGCAGGUAACAUUUAUAUAUGUAUUAGUUUGAAUAAAUCAUUUGAAUUAAGUUACAUCAUAGGCAGGAAUGUCUGACUGGAAAUAUAAACGAUGUUGUACAUAAUGCAGAUAGCUUAGGCGAAAAAGAGAUUGGUGAAAUGGAGAAUGAGGCUAACUACGGUGAAAAAAAUGAAUAUCAAAAUGUGAAUGGUACUUUGUUUAACAUCUACCUGUUUCUACAGAUACAGUACAAACGCAUUUAUAAAUGGGCUUGAUGUUUUUUU
Long non-coding RNA from Hydra vulgaris (swiftwater hydra), 295 nucleotides. RefSeq lists it as uncharacterized. The record is from RefSeq and is a predicted model, not a curated record. Lineage: Eukaryota; Metazoa; Cnidaria; Hydrozoa; Anthoathecata; Hydridae.